Molecule: long non-coding RNA, 1029 nt
Organism: Chelonia mydas (Green sea turtle)
Lineage: Eukaryota; Metazoa; Chordata; Testudines; Cheloniidae
Exons: 2
Source: RefSeq, a predicted model, not a curated record
UCUCAUCUCCGUGGCCUUUCCCCUUCCUUUGCAGGACACCUCAGCUCGGAGCAAAGGGCAGCACCUGGACACACACACACACACACCGUUUUCCCUUUCCUUACUCUGGGUGACACUUUGCCAAUUUCAUCUCUGCUGCUUAGGCUCCUGUCUUUGCAGGCCAGCAAGCAACACCCACUUCGCUCACCUUUUCCAGCUCUGUCUUGGAGCACAGGCUGAGUGUAAAAGAGCUGAAAGAGGCCUGUAAACAGGAUCUCUUACACUUGAGACUCGGUACUGGACUUUUAGUGGCACACAAGAAUUAUGAAAGAUCAAUUGAAGAUGAAAGGUUACACUGUGGACUGGAUUAAGGAAACUAUAAAAGAUCACAGAAUAAAAGUAAUUGAUUUAAUGUGAUGAGAAGUAAAACCAUAUUAGGAUUUUCAUAAGUAUGUCAAUUACCCACUGUGCAUUUCUGAUGUUGAAUAAAGGCUUUAUCCUUCCCAGAUUUUCAAUGACAGCUUUAUAGCACUCUUCAUCUGAGGAUCUCAAAGUGCUUCACAAUUUAUAAAUUGUGAAGGCAGAUAAAGUUAAUGACUUGCCAAAGGUCACACAACAUGUCAGUAGCAGAUCCAGGGAUAGAAACCAGGGGGAAAAUCCUGAUCCCAUUGAAAUCAAUGGCAAAACUCCCAUUUAAUUCAGUGGGUCCAGGAUUUCAUCCCAUGAGCCUGAAGACCAAUUGCCUGCUCUUGCCACCAGAACCAACAUUAUUAAUUUGCGUGCAUGCAUGAGGUGCACAUUUAAUUGUUACGUUGAGGCCCCUUGGAAAUUCAAGCCAUUGCUAAUUUCAGAGUUACCUGAUACAUGAGAGGGAAAAAAUAAUUUAAUGUAAAAAAACAAAUUCUAACAUGCACAUAACAAAUUUGUUCUGUACAAACACAGCUAAUCAAUAAUACAGCCAUGAACAACAGUCCAACUAUGGCAACAAUAUCCAUCAAACCAAAUGACUAAAGUUCAGAUUUAUCAUUUUCUCGGUGGAAGAGAAAUAAU